This is a long non-coding RNA of Bolinopsis microptera, 509 nucleotides long. RefSeq lists it as uncharacterized. The record is from RefSeq and is a predicted model, not a curated record. NCBI's taxonomy places the organism in Eukaryota, Metazoa, Ctenophora, Tentaculata, Lobata, Bolinopsidae. The transcript has 3 exons.
CUGGAUUCUGGAACGAAAUGAAUGAAGAAGAACUAUUUAGGCUUUCAGAAUAAACAAAACAUGUUAGCGAAGAUUGACUAUGCCAAAAUGAAGCACGAAUCCAGCGUGUGGAAAACUCUCGCCGAAACUAAAGGAACUUUGAAGGAACAGUUAUCCCAUGCCUGAUUUCACGAAUUCGACUGACGAAGUUGAAAUAGAACUGAAGCAUACGGUAUGAAGCAUGGGAGAGGUCAGCAUCUCACCGCCCUCCAGUGAUUGGGACCAAUGGAUGGGGCUCACUGAUGACCCACAAAUUGUUGUAGACUCUCCUAAACUCUCCAGACGCUGAAGCCUUCUUUGCGGGGAAGAACAUUAGCAGGGAGUCGUCUCCAUUCACGAGGAGCAAUACCCUUUGGUGGCCUGCAAUACCCUUUUCGAAUCUAUUGCUAGUGACAGAGAGAUCAAAAUAGCGAAACACAGGACAGAUACAAUGAGUGCCUCAAGACGGAAGCGCUAGCAGACAAGGAAAG